Hippoglossus stenolepis (Pacific halibut) is the source of this 2291-nucleotide long non-coding RNA. RefSeq lists it as uncharacterized. The transcript is spliced from 3 exons. The record is from RefSeq and is a predicted model, not a curated record. Lineage: Eukaryota; Metazoa; Chordata; Actinopteri; Pleuronectiformes; Pleuronectidae.
AGAAGAACCACAGAAGAAGACUGGUCUCCAAGAUACAGAGGAAGAAGCGUCCUCUUGAGAGACUGACGGCUGUGGACAUGUGGAGAUGCUGCCAGUGGAGCAGCAUUACCUCAGACCUUCACCUGCAGACAGUACAGUGCACUGAAGGCAGUUGUCUCGAGCUGUCUCUCUUUGCCAAGCUAAGUGGGACCACACCGGUCUCAGACUCCUGGAAGAGUGAACUAGUGAACUACUCUGAACUUUUGACGACCAAUUUUUGCCACAUAGAUACAUACUACAUGUUCAUGUGGCUCUCCAUGAUUUAGAGGAAAGUGUCCCAGUCAAACCUGAAGUCUGGUUAUUUGUGGAGGGGCAAAAGGACCAGUAUGCAUGUGCGUUUCAAGAUGUCCUCCGCAUGCUACUAGCAGCUUGCAAUCACAUGGGUUUGGCCGCUACAGUAUCAAAAAGGACCCUGCAGUCACAGAAAAGCACAUCUUUACAUACAGAUGAUCACUCUGAUUAAUCCGCCUACACAUCGUCCAUUGCCCAUCCCUCCCAGCAGUGUGUGUUGGAGCCCGGAUAUAUUAUAUAUGACAGAUUUACUCCCACACUCCGUGACUUUUCCUGCAGAUUCAAACCAGGAUCCUCAGUUUUAUUCCGAAUGACUCCCACACAUUCAGCCUCCUAUAUAAACAUAAGCCUCAUACGGGGUUGUAGUACUAGUGGAUUGCACUGUCACAAGUCUUCUUCAGGUGGAGCUGGGGGAGUUUUCAGUUGUUUUCCACUGUGCACAUGGAAAAGCACCUGAAUGUUUUCAUCUUUAUCAAGGCACCCACUUGCAUCAUAUAAACUACUUAAUGUACGUUGCCAAUCAGAGAAAUUGUAAUAGUGAAUUUGGUUAAUGAAUUUCAGUCGGUGACCUGCUGUGUGAAUUUGAGUGUAACAGUGAGUGCAAGCUAAAAUGUGACAAGCAUUGGAGGGGUGAUGCAAACACUGAGAACAUGUUAUACCUCAAUCAGACAGUGCUAAUGUUAUUAAGUUGUGAUAAUGCUCCGUGAACAUGCAUACAAUGUGCACCAUGCACAGUGAGUGCAGGUUGGUCUGCCUGCUGAGAGAUACAGACCUCAGCUUAACACUGGCCCUUCUCUGUAAGAGCCAGCCUCAGGUUUAUCAAAACAUCCCUCAAAGAAAUAUAUGUAAAUAAUGUGUGGGACAGUAUGUGGAUCACCAUCAUAAAAUAACUCUCAAGUCAACAGCUACCUAUAUAAUACCUGACAGAUUAAAUUCCCUUUCAUUCAAGCAGCCAUCAUUUUAAUUUUUCAUCAUUUGCCAUGUUUACCUUGUUGCCUCUCACUGAUUAGCAAAGCCCUUUGUUUCUCUUCCUUCUUGCCCCCUCAUCCCUCCUUUUCCCUCCUUUCAUACACGCCUGCAUUACUUCCUCCUCCCCAGCUCUCUCACUAUCUCUCCCUCUCCAUCUUUCAUUCCUUUCAUUCUCCUUUCUUUCUCACUCUCCAUCGAACCGUCGAUUCGGCUCAGGCUCAAACGUGGGACACCCGGUGCUGUCAGGCCGAGCGACAGCUCCUUUGACCCAGUGGUCCACGUCCUCUCGAGGCUGAGGCGGUCUGGUCUUGUCAUUAACUCUGGCAGACAGAGACUCUGUGGAGACGGACUAGAUGCUGAAGUGUCUAGAAGGAGAACAUGUUGCUUCCAGUCAGACAUUAGAGCAGGAUUACUGACUUAACAUACAUACAUGACUCAAAACACUUGCAGCAAAUGAAGAUUAAAUACAAGUUAUAAUCCCUCAUUCAGACUUAAAACUUUGCCUUCAUAGCACAAAUUAGUCAACAAAAUAGAGCAAUACACAUCGGAAUGGGUAGACAGUUUCCUCUGUGUUUUGCAACACUCCCUGAAUGCAGUUCUGCUGAUCAUUUCAUUGUUUAACAAGGGUUAAUUACAGAGGUUGCGUUGUCCCAGGGGAUAUUUGUCAAAGCGAUGUGUGUAUUUCUAGAUCAAAAUAGGCACAUCAGACAAAGUUAUGUGAUCACAUUGUUCGCGGGAGACAGUGAAGCAGCAGGAGGCCUCUUAUCAAAGCAAACAUCUUCCCAAUUAUGUUUGCUGCCUUGUAGAUGGGCCUGUCCAGGCUGUGGGGCUGAAAUGAUUCAUGGACAACAGAAGUAAUGUAACGAUUGACCGAAAGCAGCUUGUGGUUGUAUGAAGUUCAUGUUUUUAAAAGUCUGUACUCUUGUAGAAAUACAUAGACAUAGACAAUGACAUCAUUUUCGGGGGGGUAAAUAAAACUUUCAACAUGUCAC